Molecule: long non-coding RNA, 483 nt
Organism: Scylla paramamosain (green mud crab)
Lineage: Eukaryota; Metazoa; Arthropoda; Malacostraca; Decapoda; Portunidae
Exons: 3
Source: RefSeq, a predicted model, not a curated record
UUGGAUUAGUAACUCCGUUGACAGAAGUGACACCCGCGUUUUCUCUUCUCAGAUGUAAACAAAGCGGUAGAUUCCUUCCAGCUGGUGAUAAAACUUCCUCUCGCUCUCCCUCACUCUCCCACGUCACGGAAGUAGUGAUAUAAAGCACACGAGGAGGAAAGCAAUGGCAACCCUCCGAUCCGGCAAGCAGGUUGGCGGCAGCAAUGGCGGUGGCAGCGGCAGCAGUGGUGAGGUGGACGGCAGGGACAGAGGGGCAGUACAGGCUGCGGACAUCAAAGAGAAGAGGAACGCACGGACAAGCAAGGUGGUAUUCGGUAGUCUGAUCCUGGACCUGCUCGGCUUCACGGUGGUGGUGCCUCUGUCUCCUGCUCUCCUCGACUGUUACUCCAAGCACGACUCCAGCAGCUUGUAUUCCUCUCUGCUCUCCUGUGUUACUUAUUACCAGCAUAUCAUCAGCGUUCCUGCGAGGUUCCACUCUGUCUU